This 253-nucleotide ribosomal RNA is filed under the name uncultured bacterium. Its description in RNAcentral is "partial 16S ribosomal RNA". It matches the Rfam family "Bacterial small subunit ribosomal RNA", at positions 524 to 776 of the family's 1533-position model. The record is from RNAcentral.
UACAGAGGUCUCAAGCGUUGUUCGGAUUCAUUGGGCGUAAAGGGUGCGUAGGCGGCGCGGUAAGUCGGGUGUGAAAUCUCGGAGCUUAACUCCGAAACUGCAUUCGAUACUGCCGUGCUUGAGGACUGGAGAGGAGACUGGAAUUUACGGUGUAGCGGUGAAAUGCGUAGAUAUCGGGAGGAACACCAGUGGCGAAGGCGGCUACCUGGACCGGUUCUGACACUGAGGAGCGAAAGCGUGGGGAGCGAUCCGG